GGCGGAAAGAUUUAUCAUAACACAGACACUAUGAGUGUGCAUGCAGGGAGAGAGACAGGCAGGUGAGAGUGUUGUGGUGGUAUAAUAUUAUUUUAAGGUGUGUGACUUUUGUUUAUGCUGUAGUUGUUUAACUCCAUGAAGCUGCAUUACUGUGCCUGUUUAAAUAAAACACCUGGUGGUCCUAAUAAAGAGCUGAAUGACCAAUAGUGAAGAACAAGAUAGGCAAGAACAAGGAUAGGCGGGGCUGGCAGACAGAAAGAAUAAAUAGAAGGAGAAACAAGGAAGGGAGGAGCUAUGAGAGACCAAGGAGAGGAGGAGAUCAGCGGUCAGCCAGCCAUGCAGUAAGAGUGAAAGUAAGAUGUACAGAAGUAAGAAAAGGAAAAGGCUCAGAGCACAAAAGGUGGUCCAAAUAAGAUAAGAAAAGCUGGCUAGAAACAAGCCAAGCUAAGGCCAGGCAUUCAUAACCAAAAAUAAGCCUCCAUGUAUGUUUUAUUUGGGAGCUGGGUGGUACCCCCCUGCCAAAAAAAAAAAAAAAAAAAAAAAAGCAAAAAGAGCAAAACAUCCACAACAGAGAGUUACUCACAUGAGUCUCAACCUUCCAAAAUCUCUUGUGGGUGAAAGAACUACCUAGAAACACGUGCUUUUCUGGAAUAAGUUAUACUGGUGUCUAGAAAUGUGAUGAAGACCAAGACGUGGGCAAAACCAGGUGCAGCAGGUACAUCUGCUCCCAUCCUGGUGCUCACUGCACUGAGCCUGUCGUGCUUGCAAGUCAUACUUGGAACUUCAAAAAUGGUUUCUUCUGCUUAAGCUGUGUCGGACCUUAUGAACCUAAUGUAAAUAUUAGUUUGCAUAGGGGAGAGCUAGUGAGCUUAAGUCAAAGAUGACAACCCCAUUGACAAGUUGGAGGACUAUGGGCCUACCACUCCCAGUAGAUACACAUGCAGUGCAGCCCUUGGGCUGUCAUUAGAGUAUAUGGGCUCAGGGAGCAGGAGGACAUUCAUCCUGACAUGUCAGGAUAGAUUAAAGCAGGGGACUACAAAGGUACCUAAUGUGCCCAGUUAUGUGCUCUGUGCUCCAGGUGAGAAGUGUUGGGAAAGGAAAGAUUUCAGGCCAGCAAGAUGGCUCAUCAGGUGAAAGCACUUGUUGCCAAGGCUGACGACCUGAGUGGGAUCUCAAAGAUACAUAUGAUAGAAAAACGAAAUCAACACACACACACACACACACACACACACACACACACACACACACACACACACACACACUGAAUUAAAAAUGCUAUUUAAAAAGAAAAGAAAGGAUAUCAUAGUGUUUACCAGAGUGCAUUCAGCCACAACCUAAUAAUAGAUUUGAUUUAAUUAGUGAAUAUAUAGCCAUAAGCAGGCUCCUAUGCGACAAUAAAGUCAUAUACUGUAGUCCUAUAGUUCCUCCUUGUCAGGAUUUUGCUUCCCAUGGUUUCAAUUACCUAUGAUAUCCUAUAUUUUGAAAAUGUUCAACUAAAAAAAUUCCCAAAACACAUUUAAAAUCGUGCACCACUCUGUAGUGUGGUAAGAUCUGACUAUCUGGCUCUGAUCUAGUCAGGACAUGAGUUAUCUUUUUGUCUAGUGUAUCCACCCUUUAUAUACCACCUACCCAUUAGCACCUAGCUGUCUCAGUUGUCAGACUGAUAUGGUAUCACAGAGCUUGUGCUUAAGUAACAUUUCUUCACUUAAUGAUGGACCCAAAGUACAAACACAGCAAAGUACCCCUCCAGAUAUGCCAAGGAAGCAUCAUAAAGCAUCACUCAAACUGUGAAAAUUCUUAUAGUGAUAAAAAUGCAAUACUGGGGUUGCAAAAAGUUACAGGGAAUUAUUGUUAAUUUCUUACUUUGACACUUACACAUUAAAUUUUAACUUAGGUAAUAACAUUCAGAAAAAUAGAGUAUGUGGGGCCAGUUGGAUGGCUCCGUGGAUAAAGGUGUGUGCCCUGUGCCAAGUCUGGUGACCUGAAUUAGAUCACUGGAACCCAAAAUGGCAGAGGGAGAGAACUGACCUCUGACCUUUCAGUUGUGCAUGGUAGCAUGUGUGUCCCUGUGUGCAUACACACACACACACACACACACACACACACACACACAGAGAGAGAGAGAGAGAGAGAGAGAGAGAGAGAGAGAGAUACACACACACUAAUUAAUAAAUAAAGAGGAAACUUGAGUACAUGAAGUGCUUAGUAUUGCCUGCAGGCACAGGUGUCUCCUUAGGGUCUUGAAAUACACCCCUUACUCCUAAGGAGAAAUUCUGGCAAGCUACACAAGGCACUCACUUCCAUUUACAAGCACUGAAUGUUUACUGUUGGCUUCUGACUACUUUUCCUGUUUUGUGUCUAGGACAGUGGUUCUCAACCUUUCUAAUUCUGUGACCCUUUAAUGCAGUUCCUCAUGUUACGGUGACCCCCCAACCAUAAAAUUAUUUUUGUUGCUACUUCAGAACUGUAAUUUUGCUACUGUUAUGAAUUGUAAUGUAAAUAUCUGAUAUUCUGCUUCUGUGAAAGGGUUGCCUGACUUCCAAAGGGGUUGUGACCCAUUGAUUGAGAACCACUGGUCUAGGGCAACUGACUUGUGAUGCCUUUGCUAACUUUGUGUCUACACCUUUGCACACACCUGGGCUCUUCCAGACAUGGAAAAUGCUGCUUGUUGUCAAGUUCACAGUGAAUGACUCAGAGAGGACCCAAAAUGAAAACAAUGGUUAAGCAAGGGGCAUCCAGACUCCAUGGCAGCCAGGACAGCUCAUGCACUCCCAGCCUCUCUGACACCCAGUUGGUAGAUCCAACUCACUCCUUCCAGGCAGAAGCCCUUUGCUGGUACCAGACUUGGAACACUCACCAGAGCCUCUGCUGUCAUUGUCCAUCUUUUCCCUCCUCUGUGCAUGCAGUGUCACAGCUGACACCUGGGAUGUCACAUUCUGACAUACAAGACCGUUGGGGUCAAGUGGGGUAGGGGUAGAGGCAUGGACUUGGCUAUCACAGCCAGGUACAUGUCAAAGCAAAUUCCACUCACGAUUGGGUGUUCAGCCUGGACCUGGACCGUAUCUGGAUCAGAGUGAUGGGCUGAAGUCAAAUGACAAUGUUUGUCUAGCUAGGGCUUAUCUGACAGGACAUGCUUCCUGGCAGGGAUGGGAACGGAGGCUGCAGGGACAAGGGUGGGUGUGAGGCAAGAGGAGGUGUGUUAUCCGCCUUUGCCUCGUUUUCACAUUUGUUGCUAGUAUGUGCUUGCUGACAUUUGAGCGGAUUCUAUUUAUGCAAAUAGCCGAUUUUGCUUUAUUUUCCGUCCCCUACAUGCACGCAGACCACUAACUGUCACAAAGGUUUCCUUCCACCGUGGUGACUAACAGCACGGUCACUCACCCAGCAACAAGGGAGAGGCCUGGCUGGGGAAGGAGAGUGUUUAAUAUUGAUGUGAGCCCUGAAUAAAUGAGGAUUUGCAAGGCAUCCACCGUGUUCCACAACAAGACUUUGAAUUCAGAUCGACCGGAAUCCAUAUUUCUGCCCUAAUGCAUAGCAGCUUCAUGGCCCUGGGCAACUUUUCUUAGCUCCUCUUGGCCUCUGUUUCUUCAUCUCUAAAGUACUGGAAUAAUACUACCUAUGGUAUGGGAGAAUCUUCAUGAUCAAGUGAAAAUGUGUCCAAAGCAGUUUGUGGGAGGUCUAGUAAAAUGUGAUCCCUCUCACCCCAAAUCCUAAUGUGGACAAUGGGAGACAGAGGGCAGAGAAAUGGACAAUGGGAGACAGAGGGGCAGAGAAAUGGACAAUGGAGACAGAGGGGCAGAAAAAUGGACAACGAGAGACAGAGGGGCAGAAAAAUGGACAAUGGGAAAAGGAGAGACAGAGAAAUGGACAAUGGGAGACAGAGGGGCAGAGAAAUGGACAAAGGGAAAAGGAGGGGCAGAGACAGGGAUUGCAACAGAGAGUGUGUGUGCUUUGAAGAAUGCUCUCCCAUUAUCUUUCAGAUGACCUGCCUUUCCAGAACUUUGGAGCACUCCUGGGCUACAGAAGUAGUUGUUCAUCUGUCAGGGGAGCACUUGCCUCCUGAAUCUUUAACUUGAAUUUAGAAUUUACAUAUCAUUUAUUUUGCUUUUGUUCUUCCUCUCCCACCCUUUCCAUCUUGCUUUCCUUUCCUCCCUCCCUCCCUCCUUUCUUCCUCCCUUCCAUCUUUCCUUCCUUUCUUAUCUCUCUCUGUCUUUUUUGUUGAGAAAGGGUAGGGUCUGCCCAGUACCUUCUGUCAGACCUUUGGCCCUUUGCUUAGAAAACAUCAUCCAUCCUUAUCUUUUUACUUAAACAUUAUUCUUCUGAAAAUGAUCAUGAAACUUACCUUUUACAACAAAUUAUUUAACCCAGCCGUAAAUAAACUGUCACCUUGAACACAUGUUCCCUUCUUACAAGUCUGUGUCUAUUUUUGAGCAUUCUUUGUAGAUUUCUCAAGUGGUAGUACAGGCUGGGUUUUGUUGAUAAAUAGUUAACUUUAACAGAUGUUGAAAAUGAUCUCUUGGUUGAAUAAAGAAUUAAGAUGUAGACUCAAGUAUCUGAAAGUUUCUGCAAUGUGCUUUAGCAAGCUUAAAGGAUGGUGAGGAGAAUUCCACCAGCCUGGCAGCAGGGCAGUGGAGCAGAGAGCUUCAGGCCUAAGGGACAAAGUGGGAUAACACCACUCUUGGAGGAUUCGAGAGAAGAGGAGGUCCUGCACUGCAAGGAAAAAGACUCAGUUAAUAUAUAUGACCUGUGCUAUGUGACCGUGGUUGAAGACAGGGACUGUAGCACACAUAUCAGGAAUCAUAGAAAUGCUGGAUAGAGAAUAAAGCGUGGUUAGUGUCUGGAUUUAGUCAUGCUGCCUUGGGCUGCAGCUGGUAAGGGGCUAGGUAUUGUACCAACCCUGCUUCAAAUGUUAUCUGCUUGGGGCCUGCUUUCCUGGGCUUUCAACAGCCCACAGGAGUACUUCCUUCACAAAGAGGUUUGAGACUGUGUGUAUGUAUUACUUAUGGUUUAAGCCAUAUAUUUGGUUAUCCUGUGACCCAUUACCUUAGGCCAGACUGGUAAUUCAUGAAUUUGUGGUUUUCUUGGUCAGUCAUGGCAUGAUUAACCUGUCGCCAUUUUUGUUUUGUUUUGUUUUUUGAGACAGGUUUUCUUUGUUUAACAAUGCUGGCUUUCCUGGAACUCACUCUGUAGACCAGGCUGGCCUCACAACUCACAGAGGUCCACCUGCCUCUGCCUCCCCAGUGCUGGGAUCAAAGGUGUGUGGCACCAUGGCCAGCCCCUGUCAUCAUUUUGACGUUAGAGAUUACAUUGGCUGAUAGCUAUGCCAACCACUGAGCAUGUGGAGGCAACCAGGUCUAUGGUAACAGUUGUCACACCCUAAUAGAAGGAAGGAGGAUAGGGACACCUGCAAUUGCAGCUAUUUCUCCUUUUUUUAUUUUUUUGGUUUUUUGAGACAGGGUUUCUCUGUGGCUUUGGAGGCUGUCCUGGCACUCGCUCUGGAGACCAGGCUGGCCUCGAACUCACAGAGAUCGGCCUGCCUCUGUCUCCUGAGUGCUGGGAUUAAAGGCGUGCACCACCAAUGCCUGGCUUGCCAUUUCUCCUUCUUGAUUCACCCUCCAGCUGCAAGUGAUCUUGGGAAAUGUUGGUGUUUGUAGGAAGUGGAAGUCGAGCAUCUUGCAGCUGCACUGAUGACUGAAGGACUAAUGUGACAGAGACAACAGUUGUCAUCACCUCACCGAGCCAUGGUAUCUGCACAAUGCCACUCAUCCUCCUUGUCUUUUUCUUCAGUGAAAGUUAGUAAAUGACCAAGUCAAAGCACAGUCUCCAUUUGAAAAAUAAAAAAAUAAAAAUAAGAGGACAGAAAAAGGGAAAGGAACUAACAAUUGUCACAAUAGGUGAAUGGCCUCUUUGACAUCCCACAUUUCUCCAAACGUCAUUAGGUUGGAUUUGGGUAGCUGAAUAUGACGAUAUUUGAGCUCUUCAGCAAAUUCUAUAUUUGAUUCUCUCUUCCCAGAGGGCUUUUGUGAAGCAGGGGGUAUUGUGCUGGGAACAGAGCUACAGUCAGCCUCCUUGUCAUUAUGCUGGAAUGAAUGGCAAGAUACAUAAGGCACAGCAAUGAAAAGGCCAGUGGAUACAAGGCGGAGAGAGGGCCAGGGCUCAGUUAGAUUUUCACAAUCCAUCUGUCUCCUUUCAGUGUAUGUUCUUGCUGGAUUUUAUUUAUUUAUUGCUUAUAAAGUUUCAGAGAUUAAGCUUAUUCUUCAGGUACUAAACAAGGAAAGGAACCUUGGCAUUGUAAUGUUAGGAGCUCCAGGGAAAACGUACUAGGAAGGGGAAAAAGAGAGGGGGGUGGGGUAGAGAGAGAUAAUAGACAUUUGGUAUAUUGAGCAGUUUAUAGUGUGUUUUUAUAUACCCGAAAUUCAGCACAUCUACAAUAUAGUGCUGGAGCAUCUAUGAAUCUAAGACUAAGGCCAAUCUGAAGGAUGUCUUUUGAAAGUCAAUUCAAGAUUUUUUUGACAAGGUCUCACUAUAUAGCCACGACUGGCCUGGAUCUCAAAUAAGUAGACCAGGCUGGCUUCAAAUUCAUAAGACCCAUCUGUCUGCCUAUGCCUCCCAAGUUCUGGGAUUUUACAAGUAGAAUUUUCAAGUUAUAGGAUGAAACCUUGUUUCUUUUUUUUCCCCCAGCCUCUACCUUAUAUAUAAGAUGCCCAUGCUAGGAACCAGGGCUUUAUCCCCUACGUCUUCCAAUCUCUGUUAAUACUACAUCCAAGUUUUCAACAAAUCCUGUUGGCUGAAACUUCUGACCAGCAAUGGUAUAGAUUUCUGUGUGUCUGUACUAAUGGGUCCCUCCUUACGGUUUGCCUAUCAGACCCUGGGAACCCUUUAAUGACUCCCUUGUCUUAAAGAUAAAAUUUAAAGUCUUCAUCAUGGGCUAUACAUUUCCAGUCUUGGAUUUGACCUCUCUGUGGACAUCUCCACCUACACCCUAGGUACACGAAGACACCUGUCACAUGCUCCAAUGCUUGCCAAAGAUUUGGACCUUUGCCUGCUCCUUCUACCCCCAUGCUAUUCCCCUUCAUGGCCAGACUUAUUUCUUUCCUUCAAGAGACAGCAGAGCAAAUGUCAUUUUUCCCUUGUACCUAGUUAAAUGUCCUCUCCCUCCAAACCAGGCCCAUCUCCCACACUUGCAUAGUAACUGGCACAUAGCACUUUUAGAGCAGUGUGGACAUUUUAGUGUAGCUGUGCGUUUCUCUGUCAUGUUAAGUAGAAAUCCCCAUUACUAGUAAAUUCCAAACAGAUGAUCUUUGACACAUUUCAAAGAAGUGAAGCAGAGAACUGCAAUCAAGAAACCAAGGAGGAAAGAAUAAAUAAUAAAGACUUCUCAAGUCUCUUUUACUUUUGAGUAUUUGAAUUUCUCUAACCCCAAAAUUUAAAUAGAUGCUCAAAUUCCUUUGAAACUAAUCAGAAAGCAAUGUUAACAUGAUGUAUUAGUUGCUUUUCUGUUGCUGUCAUAAAAUAUUCUUAACGGAGAAAAGGGUUUAUUUUGGCCUAUGGUUUCAGAAGGGUAGGGUCCAUUAAGGCGCAAGUACGACAUGGGAAGAGAUACACAGUGACAGGAGCACGAGGCAGCAGAUCAUGUUUUCAUCCACACCGGAAGCAGAGAAAAAGAGAACAGGAAGUGGGGAGAGGGUAUAAUCCCUCAAAGCCUGCCCCUGUAACAUACUUCCUCAGCAAGGCACCACCUCCUGAUGGUUCCAUAACCUCCCCAAAGAGCAACAACUACUGGGGACCAAGGGAUCCCGUGGGCACAUUUCUUAUUCAAACCACCACACAUAGUUUUAUCAUAUGAAAUAUUUAUUGCUUUUGCAAUUGAUUAUCUCUCAAUAGAGUAUAUGAAACAUAUUGACUGUAUCACUAUCCUUUCUUAUGCAACAUGAUUACUCAACCGUGUGCUGAAGUUUUCAUUAUAUCCCUGGCUUAAGGAUUUGGGAAGCCCAGAAUGCUUUUGGUCUCUAUGCAUGAAAUGUAAUCAGGACAUUUUCUCCUGCAAGAUAAAACUGAGGAAAAUAGUUCCAAUUCAACUUUGCCACUACAAAUAUGAUACUUUGAAAAAGUCACCUGACAUUCAUGAACAUGAUUUUCUUCACCUAGAAAUGGUGGUUGUGGUGGUCAAAUAAUAUUAGAUGUGUAUGAAAUGCUCCAAAUAGAAUUUGGUAAACCAGAAAUGGUACACUAGAAAUGGUUGUUGUCGGGGUCAAAUAAAAUUAAGUGUGUAGGAAAUGCUCCAAACAGAAUUUGGUAUACCAGAAGCAUCCAUAACAUUGCUGUUAUUAUUCUAAAAUAGGAAACCAGAAGACAUACUUUCACAGGCAUUGUUCUUAUCUAUGCAGAAAAACCAAAGGGAAUGAUGGUUUCUGAUGAUCUUUGGAAUAUAAUACUCCAACUUCCACGACAAAAAAGGACAGUUGUGGAGACAGAAAGAUAAGGAGGAAGCAAAGCUGCCCAGUCAUCCAACUUCUGGGAGAUAAAGACAUUGGGAACUUGGCCAAACCCUUAAGUAAUAAGGAGAGAUGGGGAAGAAAUGUUGACAGUUUCUGACAUGUGACUUUCUGCUGACCCAGACACUGCAUUUGUUCUGAAUAUGAAGAGUUCUCAAGGCGAUACGUCAUGAACAGCCUCCAGUCCAGCAAGUAGCUCUCUCUCAUCCCACUUGCAAAGCCAAAUGCCCAGAGGAAAAGAAAUUAUUCAGAAGACCAGAGUUUUGUCUUGGAGACUAAAUUGACAAUACAUUAUUAAACUCCCCUUGCACCACUCACCACACCCAUUCUGGCAACAAAAGUUGCCUCAAACGGAGAAAAAGCAAUUUUCAUAGUAAUGAGUAAAAGAUGUUGUCCAAGUGAAGAGAAAGUAUGAGAGUCCUCCACAAAACAUUUCCCUAAAUUGUUAUAAUAAUGGAUAUUUUAGGAUAUAACAUAAUUUAUACUCCUUUUAAUUUACACAGAACUAUAUUUAAGACUAUUAAAACACAAUUAAGUAAAAUGCAUUUUACAUAUAUAUUUAAUAAGAAUAAUAAGAGUAAUAUAAAUUUGUAUUUAAGACCAAGAGUUGAUGGAGAAGCCAUGAACUUACUGACACUGCCCUGAGUAACUCUGAGGUGUAUGACUCUAGGUAAUCUUCUCAUGCCAUCAUAGGAAUUACUUGCCCUGGUAACAAGUGAGACACUUGAGAAUUCAACAUGGGUCUACAUCUUGUCCUCAAAGACCACAACUUCCCAGGAACAAAAUUUUAUCAAGUCAUUUCUUUGAAAAGUGUAGGUUCCCCCUACAUAAUUUAUCUAAGGAAUAUCCUUUCUUGUUUGUUAAUCUCUUACAUAUCUAAGGAAGAAGUUUCCUCAAAGUAACAAUUCCAUGAUUAAAAUUUUUCUCAUCAGUUUGUCAUAAACCAACCUUUGUAUAUGAAAUCAUCUUUUGGUAUAUAUAGGAGAGUAGGUCCAGGAUGUGCCAAGGAAAUCCACAGAUGCUGGAGUCCCUUAUGUAGAAUGGCAUAAAUAGAGUUAUAUUUUUUCCUUUUUACAUAGAUAAGUUAUUUGUGUGUUACACAUGCAUGUGUGUGCUUACAUGUGUGCUAGUACAUGUGUGCUCUAGUGUGUGUGCACACAUAUAUGUGGAGGUGCAUGGUUGAUGUCCAGAAUCUUUCUCGAUUGCUCAUCCAUCAUAUACUUUUGAGGCAGCAUCUCUCAGUCAAACCCAGUGCUCACCAACACAGCUGUUCUCACUAGUCUGCUCAGUCCUGGUACCUCCUAAUGCCACUUUCCAAGCCUGGAAUUACAUAUGGGUUACCAAUUCUAUGGAUUCUAAGAAUCUAAACUGUGAUAUUCUUGUUUUCAGAACUAUACAUUUAACUACUGAGCAAUCUUCCAGGGCAGACUUUGGACAGAUCACUUGGAGUACCUAAUAUAACAUAAAUGCUCAGUAAAUUGUUGUUACACUGUAUUGUUCAGAAACCAGGGACCCAAAAAGUGUUCAGUGGAGAUGGAACGUUUUUCCAAAAGCUUUUUAGUCUCAAGUUGUUGAGUCCUCACAUGUAGAGCUCACAAACAAAUAGGGUCAUCUCUAUAUCUAAAGAAGAUGUGAUAUUUACUCAUUUCACUUUGUUGCUGCUAUGGAAAUAGAGAAACAGUCAAUAUGAAACUGAAGAAGGCAGAGAAAAUGCAAUAUACAAAACCAUGAGGGGGAGAUCCAAUAGCAUAUAUGACCCAUCAAUCAGAUACGUGGCUAAAAUCCAAAGUCUGCCUCUGUUUCCUCAGCUAUAAAGCACACAGACAAAAUAAAAAGGACCUAUAGAGGGAGAAGGCACAGAUGUUCUGUCAGUUGGCCACCUUUUCACUUUGUUUCUGGGUAUCCUCAGGUCCAAAAACAUGGGAGAGAAACAAGAUGAAGAGAAAACAUUCAGGUCAUCGGUGCCACUGUACUCCUCAUUGGCUAUCUGGACAGUUCACCUCAUAGCUCAUUUCCAAAUAUAAUGCUGCCCUGAUGCACCCCUUCUUGCAUGGAACUUCCCAAUUGACCCACCAUCCACCGGAAUCUCAUUAAUCCUUGCCAGACUGAAAUGUCAGUGGAGAGUGACUGUAACUGUUAUUUCUGUCUCUUCACUCUACCACUAAUCUUCAACCCAAAUUCUAGAGAAGAACAAGAAACAGUACACAAUUUCAUUUGAGUCCUCGAAGAGUCCUUCUAAGGCUUUUUAUGUUCCAUCUCCCUUCUUCAACCCUGGAGCCUACCCACAGGUCCACACACACUAAGUUCCAAUUGGAUAGUGAAAUGCCCCCUCUAUCAGAUACCGUCAGCCUCCUCAAUCUUUCUUUCUCUUGAGUCCCCAGGACUUGAUUUAGGGAGGGUCACCUAGUAGAAUACCCCCCCUUCCAGUCUGAAAACCUUUCAGAGUACCCCUUCCUUUCAUUACAUAAACUGUUUUAUCAAUUCUUUGAGGGUUUUACAUGCAUACGAUGUAUUUCGAUUACAUUCAUCUCCCACUCUUUCUUCUAACUUCUCCCUAACCCAUGCCUCACCUCCUUCCCUUCCUACUUAUCUUUCUUUUUCAAAUAACCCUCAGAGUACAGUUUGUUCUGUUCACAUAAUUGUGGGUAUGUGGGCUACCCACCAGAGAGAGUGUGGUCAGCCUAUCAGGGACUAUACUCUUAAAGAAAACUGCCUCUUUCUAGUCAAGAAGCCACCAACAGUUAGUGGUGCUUCAGCUAGAAGUGGGGACACAUGAG
This is a non-coding RNA of Cricetulus griseus (Chinese hamster), 11269 nucleotides long. NCBI's taxonomy places the organism in Eukaryota, Metazoa, Chordata, Mammalia, Rodentia, Cricetidae. The record is from RefSeq and is a predicted model, not a curated record.